AUUGAACGCUGGCGGCAUGCCUUACACAUGCAAGUCGAACGGCAGCACGGGAGCAAUCCUGGUGGCGAGUGGCGAACGGGUGAGUAAUAUAUCGGAACGUGCCCAGUCGUGGGGGAUAACGUAGCGAAAGCUACGCUAAUACCGCAUACGAUCUAUGGAUGAAAGCGGGGGAUCGCAAGACCUCACGCGAUUGGAGCGGCCGAUAUCAGAUGAGGUAGUUGGUGAGGUAAAGGCUCACCAAGCCGACGAUCUGUAGCUGGUCUGAGAGGACGACCAGCCACACUGGGACUGAGACACGGCCCAGACUCCUACGGGAGGCAGCAGUGGGGAAUUUUGGACAAUGGGCGCAAGCCUGAUCCAGCAAUGCCGCGUGCAGGAUGAAGGCCUUCGGGUUGUAAACUGCUUUUGUACGGAACGAAACGGCGAGCUCUAAUACAGUUUGCUAAUGACGGUACCGUAAGAAUAAGCACCGGCUAACUACGUGCCAGCAGCCGCGGUAA
RNAcentral lists this ribosomal RNA (500 nucleotides) under uncultured bacterium. Its description in RNAcentral is "partial 16S ribosomal RNA". It matches the Rfam family "Bacterial small subunit ribosomal RNA", at positions 30 to 523 of the family's 1533-position model. The record is from RNAcentral.